Molecule: long non-coding RNA, 1545 nt
Organism: Oncorhynchus keta (chum salmon)
Lineage: Eukaryota; Metazoa; Chordata; Actinopteri; Salmoniformes; Salmonidae
Exons: 4
Source: RefSeq, a predicted model, not a curated record
ACAGGGGCCAGAAAAGAACAACAAUGUAAAUUACAAAUCAAAUCACUUCCUACACACACUGAUCCUAAAACAGAGACAUAGCACAGUGAGAAACAACUGAUUGUGUACUCCAAAUGCUGUAGUAGAAUACUGUUUCAUACUACACACUCAAAUGAUCCAAAACAAACCUUGUUAUUACUGUGGUAUACUACUACUACUACUACUACUACUACUACACUGAAAAAAAUAUGAACGCAACAUGCAACAAUUUCAACGAUUUUAUUGAGUUACAGUUCAUGUAAAGAAAUCAGUAAAUUCAAUUAAAUAAAUUAAGCAAUAAUCUAUGGAUUUCACAUGACUGGGCAGGGGCACAGCCAUGGGUUAGGCCUGGGAGGGCAUAGGCCCACCCACUUGGGAGCCAGGUCUAGCCAAUCAGAAUAAGAUUUCCCCCCACAAAAGGGCUUUAAUACAGACAGAAAUACUUCUCAGUUUCAUCCGCUGUCCAGGUGACAGGUGAAGAAGACAGAUAUGGACGUUCUGGGCUGGCGUGGUUGAAUGUGGUCUGAGGUAGUGAGUCCGGUUGGACGUCCUGGGCUGGCGUGGUUGAAUGUGGUCUGAGGUAGUGAGUCCGGUUGGACGUCCUGGGCUGGCGUGGUUGAAUGUGGUCUGAGGUAGUGAGUCCGGUUGGACGUCCUGGGCUGGCGUGGUUGAAUGUGGUCUGAGGUAGUGAGUCCGGUUGGACGUCCUGGGCUGGCGUGGUUGAAUGUGGUCUGAGGUAGUGAGUCCGGUUGGACGUCCUGGGCUGGCGUGGUUGAAUGUGGUCUGAGGUAGUGAGUCCGGUUGGACGUCCUGGGCUGGCGUGGUUGAAUGUGGUCUGAGGUAGUGAGUCCGGUUGGACGUCCUGGGCUGGCGUGGUUGAAUGUGGUCUGAGGUAGUGAGUCCGGUUGGACGUCCUGGGCUGGCGUGGUUGAAUGCGGUCUGAGGUAGUGAGUCCGGUUGGACGUCCUGGGCUGGCGUGGUUGAAUGCGGUCUGAGGUAGUGAGUCCGGUUGGAGGUCCUGGGCUGGCGUGGUUGAAUGUGGUCUGAGGUAGUGAGUCCGGUUGGACGUCCUGGGCUGGCGUGGUUGAAUGUGGUCUGAGGUAGUGAGUCCGGUUGGACGUCCUGGGCUGGCGUGGUUGAAUGUGGUCUGAGGUAGUGAGUCCGGUUGGACGUCCUGGGCUGGCGUGGUUGAAUGUGGUCUGAGGUAGUGAGUCCGGUUGGACGUCCUGGGCUGGCGUGGUUGAAUGUGGUCUGAGGUAGUGAGUCCGGUUGGACGUCCUGGGCUGGCGUGGUUGAAUGUGGUCUGAGGUAGUGAGUCCGGUUGGACAUCCUGGGCUGGCGUGGUUGAAUGUGGUCUGAGGUAGUGAGUCCGGUUGGACGUCCUGGGCUGGCGUGGUUGAAUGUGGUCUGAGGUAGUGAGUCCGGUUGGACGUCCUGGGCUGGCGUGGUUGAAUGUGGUCUGAGGUAGUGAGUCCGGUUGGACGUCCUGGGCUGGCGUGUUUGAAUGUGGUCUGAGGUAGUGAGUCC